CAGCAGCCGCGGUAAUACAGAGGGUGCGAGCGUUAAUCGGAUUUACUGGGCGUAAAGCGUGCGUAGGCGGCUUUUUAAGUCGGAUGUGAAAUCCCUGAGCUUAACUUAGGAAUUGCAUUCGAUACUGGGAAGCUAGAGUAUGGGAGAGGAUGGUAGAAUUCCAGGUGUAGCGGUGAAAUGCGUAGAGAUCUGGAGGAAUACCGAUGGCGAAGGCAGCCAUCUGGCCUAAUACUGACGCUGAGGUACGAAAGCGUGGGGAGCAAACAGGAUUAGAGACCCCAGUAGUCCCUGUCUCUUAUAA
Molecule: ribosomal RNA, 301 nt
Filed under: uncultured bacterium
Lineage: Bacteria
Description: partial 16S ribosomal RNA
Rfam family: Bacterial small subunit ribosomal RNA
Source: RNAcentral